GGCGAGUGGCGAACGGGUGAGUAAUACAUCGGAACGUGUCCUGNGAGUGGGGGAUAGCCCGGCGAAAGCCGGAUUAAUACCGCAUACGCUCUGUGGAGGAAAGCGGGGGAUCUUUCGGGACCUCGCGCUCAAGGGGCGGCCGAUGGCAGAUUAGGUAGUUGGUGGGGUAAAGGCCUACCAAGCCGACGAUCUGUAGCUGGUCUGAGAGGACGACCAGCCACACUGGGACUGAGACACGGCCCAGACUCCUACGGGAGGCAGCAGUGGGGAAUUUUGGACAAUGGGCGCAAGCCUGAUCCAGCAAUGCCGCGUGUGUGAAGAAGGCCUUCGGGUUGUAAAGCACUUUUGUCCGGAAAGAAAACCUCUGGGUUAAUACCCCGGGGGGAUGACGGUACCGGAAGAAUAAGCACCGGCUAACUACGUGCCAGCAGCCGCGGUAAUACGUAGGGUGCGAGCGUUAAUCGGAAUUACUGGGCGUAAAGCGUGCGCAGGCGGUGAUGUAAGACCGAUGUGAAAUCCCCGGGCUUAACCUGGGAACUGCAUUGGUGACUGCAUCGCUCGAGUAUGGCAGAGGGGGGUAGAAUCCACGUGUAGCAGUGAAAUGCGUAGAGAUGUGGAGGAAUACCGAUGGCGAAGGCAGCCCCCUGGGUCAUACUGACGCUCAUGCACGAAAGCGUGGGGAG
This 683-nucleotide ribosomal RNA is filed under the name Burkholderia sp. Md205. Its description in RNAcentral is "bacterial SSU rRNA". It matches the Rfam family "Bacterial small subunit ribosomal RNA", at positions 90 to 768 of the family's 1533-position model. Lineage: Bacteria; Pseudomonadati; Pseudomonadota; Betaproteobacteria; Burkholderiales; Burkholderiaceae. The record is from RNAcentral.